Benincasa hispida (wax gourd) is the source of this 476-nucleotide long non-coding RNA. RefSeq lists it as uncharacterized. NCBI's taxonomy places the organism in Eukaryota, Viridiplantae, Streptophyta, Magnoliopsida, Cucurbitales, Cucurbitaceae. The record is from RefSeq and is a predicted model, not a curated record.
GGUUACUUUUUGAAUUUUUUGCAUAUGCAUUUUUCAACUCAAUUGCCCAAAGAAGUGGUUUUAUAUGAGAGUGGUGGUGGUACCACGUGAAAGUUCUAUGAUUCCAACCUAAUUCUGCUGACCCCAUUUUUUAAUCUCCAAGCACAGAUAGCAAGAGAGAAAAGAAAGAAAGAAAGAAACAGAGAGAAAGAUGGAAGCUCCAGCUCCACAAGCCAUAGAAGUCAGUAGCAAGAACCUUGGUGUAGAAGAAGAUGAGCAAGAUAAAGCUGUGAAUGAGUGUUGUUCUUGCUGUUAUGACUGCUCGGAAAGCUGGUUUGAAUAUUUGUGCUGUUGGGAUGAUUGUGAGUGCUAGAUGAACAUAAUUGGGAUUUUCAACAUCAAGAAUGUGUUCUUUUAACUUGUCUUUAACCCUCACUCUCUUCUCCAUAUACUUGUUGCUCCUUCGAUUAUCAAAUACACCCUUCAUUUUCUUCUUA